GUCGAACGGUGAACACGGAGCUUGCUCUGUGGGAUCAGUGGCGAACGGGUGAGUAACACGUGAGCAACCUGCCCCUGACUCUGGGAUAAGCGCUGGAAACGGCGUCUAAUACUGGAUAUGUGACGUGAUCGCAUGGUCUGCGUCUGGAAAGAAUUUCGGUUGGGGAUGGGCUCGCGGCCUAUCAGCUUGUUGGUGAGGUAAUGGCUCACCAAGGCGUCGACGGGUAGCCGGCCUGAGAGGGUGACCGGCCACACUGGGACUGAGACACGGCCCAGACUCCUACGGGAGGCAGCAGUGGGGAAUAUUGCACAAUGGGCGCAAGCCUGAUGCAGCAACGCCGCGUGAGGGACGACGGCCUUCGGGUUGUAAACCUCUUUUAGCAGGGAAGAAGCGAAAGUGACGGUACCUGCAGAAAAAGCGCCGGCUAACUACGUGCCAGCAGCCGCGGUAAUACGUAGGGCGCAAGCGUUAUCCGGAAUUAUUGGGCGUAAAGAGCUCGUAGGCGGUUUGUCGCGUCUGCUGUGAAAUCCGGAGGCUCAACCUCCGGCCUGCAGUGGGUACGGGCAGACUAGAGUGCGGUAGGGGAGAUUGGAAUUCCUGGUGUAGCGGUGGAAUGCGCAGAUAUCAGGAGGAACACCGAUGGCGAAGGCAGAUCUCUGGGCCGUAACUGACGCUGAGGAGCGAAAGGGUGGGGAGCAAACAGGCUUAGAUACCCUGGUAGUCCACCCCGUAAACGUUGGGGAACUAGUUGUGGGGUCCAU
RNAcentral lists this ribosomal RNA (761 nucleotides) under uncultured bacterium. Its description in RNAcentral is "bacterial SSU rRNA". It matches the Rfam family "Bacterial small subunit ribosomal RNA", at positions 61 to 832 of the family's 1533-position model. The record is from RNAcentral.